RNAcentral lists this ribosomal RNA (539 nucleotides) under Pseudoalteromonas sp. NA103. RNAcentral's name for it is "bacterial SSU rRNA". It matches the Rfam family "Bacterial small subunit ribosomal RNA", at positions 123 to 660 of the family's 1533-position model. The record is from RNAcentral. Lineage: Bacteria; Pseudomonadati; Pseudomonadota; Gammaproteobacteria; Alteromonadales; Pseudoalteromonadaceae.
GAAUUGCAUUGUGGUGGUGGACAACUUCCGGGGACUUGUGCUACCCCCCAUGAUGUCAACGGAGUGGGUUGGUGGACCUUCGGGCCUCUGCCUUCGAGAGGACCUACUGGGAUUAGUGAUUUGGUGAGGGAGUGAAUCCCCAACGCGACAAUCCCAAGCUGGUUUGAGAGGAUGAUCAGCCACACUGGGACUGAGACACGGCCCAGACUCCUACGGGAGGCAGCAGUGGGGAAUAUUGCACAAUGGGCGCAAGCCUGAUGCAGCCAUGCCGCGUGUGUGAAGAAGGCCUUCGGGUUGUAAAGCACUUUCAGUAAGGAGGAAAGGUUAAGUGUUAAUAGCACUUAGCUGUGACGUUACUUACAGAAGAAGCACCGGCUAACUCCGUGCCAGCAGCCGCGGUAAUACGGAGGGUGCGAGCGUUAAUCGGAAUUACUGGGCGUAAAGCGUACGCAGGCGGUUUGUUAAGCGAGAUGUGAAAGCCCCGGGCUCAACCUGGGAACUGCAUUUCGAACUGGCAAACUAGAGUGUGAUAGAGGGUG